GAUGAACGCUGGCGGCGUGCUUAAUACAUGCAAGUCGAGCGAACGGACGAGAAGCUUGCUUCUCUGAUGUUAGCCGCGGACGGGUGAGUAACACGUGGAUAACCUACCUAUAAGACUGGGAUAACUUCGGGAAACCGGAGCUAAUACCGGAUGAUAUUUUGAACCGCAUGGUUCAAAAGUGAAAGACGGUCUUGCUGUCACUUAUAGAUGGAUCCGCGCUGCAUUAGCUAGUUGGUAAGGUAACGGCUUACCAAGGCAACGAUGCAUAGCCGACCUGAGAGGGUGAUCGGUCACACUGGAACUGAGACACGGUCCAGACUCCUACGGGAGGCAGCAGUAGGGAAUCUUCCGCAAUGGGCGAAAGCCUGACGGAGCAACGCCGCGUGAGUGAUGAAGGUCUUCGGAUCGUAAAACUCUGUUAUUAGGGAAGAACAUAUGUGUAAGUAACUGUGCACAUCUUGACGGUACCUAAUCAGAAAGCCACGGCUAACUACGUG
This 497-nucleotide ribosomal RNA is filed under the name uncultured bacterium. Its description in RNAcentral is "partial 16S ribosomal RNA". It matches the Rfam family "Bacterial small subunit ribosomal RNA", at positions 28 to 507 of the family's 1533-position model. The record is from RNAcentral.